CUUGGAUCAAGCACUUAUUACCCUACAUUGAAAGAUUAUAUCCUUGAAUAUUCUGUUCUUGCAUGUAUGCAUCUAGUAGCCGUUUGAACAUCUGUAUGGACUCUGAUAAAACCACUUCUUCAGGCAGAGAAUUCCACAUCCUGAUUGUUCUUACAGUAAAAAAACCUUUCCUUUGCCUUAGACGAAAUCUUCUUUCUUCCAGUCUAAAUGCAUGGCCUCGUGUCCUAUGUAAAGUCCGGUUUGUGAAUAGAUUUCCACACAAUGGUUUGUAUUGGCCCCGAAUAUAUUUGUAUAAUGUUAUCAUAUC
Molecule: long non-coding RNA, 307 nt
Filed under: Pelobates cultripes (western spadefoot toad)
Lineage: Eukaryota; Metazoa; Chordata; Amphibia; Anura; Pelobatidae
Source: RNAcentral